CGGGGCGUAGCGCAGUCUGGUAGCGCACCACACUGGGGGUGUGGUGGUC
Molecule: transfer RNA, 49 nt
Filed under: Gammaproteobacteria bacterium
Lineage: Bacteria; Pseudomonadati; Pseudomonadota; Gammaproteobacteria
Description: tRNA-Pro
Source: RNAcentral